GCGGCCUAUUAGUUUGUUGGUGGGGUAACGGCCUACCAAGACUGCGAUAGGUAGCUGGUCUGAGAGGACGAUCAGCCACACUGGGACUGAGACACGGCCCAGACUCCUACGGGAGGCAGCAGUGGGGAAUCUUGCGCAAUGCGCGAAAGCGUGACGCAGCAACACCGCGUGGGGGAAGACGGCCUUCGGGUUGUAAACCCCUUUCAGGAGGGACGAAGGCCGGCCGGUGAAUAGCCGUGCCGGUUGACGGUACCUCCACAAGAAGCCCCGGCUAACUACGUG
Molecule: ribosomal RNA, 282 nt
Filed under: uncultured bacterium
Lineage: Bacteria
Description: partial 16S ribosomal RNA
Rfam family: Bacterial small subunit ribosomal RNA
Source: RNAcentral